This 253-nucleotide ribosomal RNA is filed under the name uncultured bacterium. RNAcentral's name for it is "partial 16S ribosomal RNA". It matches the Rfam family "Bacterial small subunit ribosomal RNA", at positions 524 to 776 of the family's 1533-position model. The record is from RNAcentral.
UACGGAAGGGUCUAGCGAUGUUCGGAAUUACUGGGCGUAAAGAGCGCGGAGGCGGCUUACCAAGUUGGGGGUGAAAUCCCGGAGCUCAACUCCGGAACUGCCUUCAAAACUGGUAGGCUCGAGUCCGGAAGAGGGGCGUGGAAUUCCCAGUGUAGAGGUGAAAUUCGUAGAUAUUGGGAAGAACACCGGUGGCUAAGGCGGCGCCCUGGUCCGGUACUGACGAUGAGGCGCGAAAGCGUGGGGAGCAAACAGG